Salvia hispanica is the source of this 1133-nucleotide non-coding RNA. Lineage: Eukaryota; Viridiplantae; Streptophyta; Magnoliopsida; Lamiales; Lamiaceae. The record is from RefSeq and is a predicted model, not a curated record.
CCUUCCGCCUCCACUCCAUUUCCGCCGUUCGCGAAGGAAACUGUACCAAGGGUUAUCUCCUCCGGUCCAUGCUGGCUGCCGCCUCGGAUUGUUGUGGCCUCGGUGUUGCUCCCGGCGGUGGCAGCCGGCUCUCCCCCUCUAUUCGCGACGGCAGCUACUCCUCUUCCCCCUCGAAACGGCGCUUGAUUCUGUUUAGAUUUGCGAUCCUCCCACCAUUCCGGGUACCCAUGGAGUUCGAAGCAUGUUUCCCGAGUAUGCUUUUUCUUUCCACAAUGAUUACAUGUGAGCUUCAGUUUCUCCUCCUCCGUUUUCUUGCUCCAGUUACCGCCGGUAUUUCCGCCGCUUCGUUGAGGGGGAUUUCGGUGAGUGGCUUGAUUCGGCCAUGGCUGCCUUGCAAUGAGUCCAGCCGCGACUCCCUGUGUAGCCCCGGUAUCCCCUGAUUUCAGAACGCUCGCUCUAGUGUCCUCCCUCCGAAGGAUUCCGUAUGCUACUUCUACGGAUGGUAGUGGAUCCAAUCUAAGUAUUUCUUUCUUGAUCCCUUCGUACUUGUCGUUUAGGGCUACGAGAAGUUGGUCAUACACUUGAAUCUUGUCACCUCCGCUUGCGUACGUAAUCUCCAGGCUCUUCCAUACGUCUCUGGCUGAUGGGUAUUGAGACACUCGGUUGACUAGUUUCUCCUCCAAGUUUUGAAUCAACCACGUGAAUACGCAGUGAUCCCCUUGCUGCCAUCUUCCGAAGGCUGGAUCGGUUCUUGCAGGAGGGGAUGGGACUCCAGUAAUGUGAGACAACAUUCCCCUCCCGCUGAUUGCCGCUGUCAUGUGGAUGGCCCAAAGCGAGUAAUUUUCGCCAUUAAGUUUGGUUCCGAUCUGUAACGGUGAGGGUCUGCCGGAUUUUGGCCUUUUGGUUUGAGAUUGGUCCGAGACAGUGAUGAGACUUCUCUGAGUCUCACCCCCGCUCUGAUACCAUCUUGUUUUUGGUAUCGGCCAUAGAAGAGAGAAGAGUAGUGUAUAAGAGAUAGAUUGUAGGAAAUUGUGUGUCUUUUUAUUCAUCGGUUCUUACUACUCUUUAUAUAGAGUUUUACAUAUGUGUAUAUGGUAUGAUUUCCUAGAAUCAAUUUACAAUCAAUUGCUCAA